CACCUUCACAUAUUUCUUCUCCACUCUCUAUCUGGAAGUUCCUGGUCAUAUCGGAGCAUCCCUCUAAUUUCCAAACAUUCUAAGGAUCACUUGUUAGUGUUCCUUUCCAGCUCUUUUCGUUUUUAUAGGCUUUUAUAAGACGAAAGUCAAGCAAAUUGACUUUUGCUUUGACUUUCAUUUUAGACCAUUAUGGUCCAGCAAUUGUUCGAAUCGAACAUGGCUACGCUUGGGAUACGGUAAAUUCUUACUGCUUGGUCAGGCAUGCGAUCAAAUGUUGGAUUGUGACUAGAAAAUCCACAUAACCUGUUUUAAUUUAUUUUGUCUGAUAUCCUCAGCUCAUUUAAUGGCAAAUGGCCACGACUUAAGCAUGGGGUGUAGGCAUACACCUGACAGAUGUUAAUGCUAUUAUAAAAUAUUUUCUACCCAUAUUGGGGAUACCUUUUUAUGGGUUAAAAGCGGUGUGUCGGUUAAUCAUGUUAUUUAGUUUCUGUACAAGGCCUCAUAUGUAUUAACAGGCAUGUAAAACUGUAUACAAGAUAAUUGUUAUUGUCCCAAGUUAUUUAUAAAAUUACAUGUGCCUUUGUGCACUUAAAACAAUUUGAAAUAUUUUCAAAAUUUGUCGGUUACUUGUGUCUAACGAUGUAAACUGACGUAUCUUCAAAAGACUAAGUGACAGGUUCCAAGGUUACAAAAUAGGCUGGAAGUGCCAGUAAUGCUUAAGAGGAAUUUGUGACUCCUUGCAUUAGAAGCCUAUUAGUCUGUUAUUUCAUUUUGUACAUUUACGAUCCGCCUGUGGAUCUUUUGAUACAUUAUCCGUCUGUAUAAUAUUUUGAACACUCGGACAUUUAUAUUGUAAUAUUUUAAAUCCA
RNAcentral lists this long non-coding RNA (869 nucleotides) under Helianthus annuus (common sunflower). Lineage: Eukaryota; Viridiplantae; Streptophyta; Magnoliopsida; Asterales; Asteraceae. The record is from RNAcentral.